UACAGAGGUGCCAAGCGUUAGGCGGAAUCACUGGGCUUAAAGCGUGUGUAGGUGGACGCGUAAGUACCUUGUGAAAUCCCUCGGCCCAACCGAGGAAUAGCGCUCCGAACCGAUAGGCUUGAGGAGGAUAGAGGUAAGCGGAACAGAUGGUGGAGCGGUGAAAUGCGUUGAUAUCAUCUGGAACACCUGUGGCGAAAGCGGCUUACUGGGUCCUUUCUGACGCUGAGGCACGAAAGCCAGGGUAGCGAACGGG
This 253-nucleotide ribosomal RNA is filed under the name uncultured bacterium. RNAcentral's name for it is "partial 16S ribosomal RNA". It matches the Rfam family "Bacterial small subunit ribosomal RNA", at positions 524 to 776 of the family's 1533-position model. The record is from RNAcentral.